UUAAGCGACCAAGCGUACACGGUGGAUGCCCUGGCAGUCAGAGGCGAUGAAGGACGUGCUAAUCUGCGAAAAGCGCCGGUAAGGUGAUAUGAACCGUUAUAACCGGCGAUGUCCGAAUGGGGAAACCCAGUGUGACUCGUCACACUAUCAUUAACUGAAUCCAUAGGUUAAUGAGGCGAACCGGGGGAACUGAAACAUCUAAGUACCCCGAGGAAAAGAAAUCAACCGAGAUUCCCCCAGUAGCGGCGAGCGAACGGGGAGGAGCCCAGAGCCUGAAUCAGCAUGUGUGUUAGUGGAAGCGUCUGGAAAGGCGCGCGAUACAGGGUGACAGCCCCGUACACAAAAGCGCAUGUGCUGUGAGCUCGAUGAGUAGGGCGGGACACGUGGUAUCCUGUCUGAAUAUGGGGGGACCAUCCUCCAAGGCUAAAUACUCCUGACUGACCGAUAGUGAACCAGUACCGUGAGGGAAAGGCGAAAAGAACCCCGGCGAGGGGAGUGAAAAAGAACCUGAAACCGUGUACGUACAAGCAGUGGGAGCACAGGUUUACCUGUGUGACUGCGUACCUUUUGUAUAAUGGGUCAGCGACUUAUAUUCUGUAGCAAGGUUAACCGAAUAGGGGAGCCGGAGGGAAACCGAGUCUUAACCGGGCGUUAAGUUGCAGGGUAUAGACCCGAAACCCGGUGAUCUAGCCAUGGGCAGGUUGAAGGUUGGGUAACACUAACUGGAGGACCGAACCGACUAAUGUUGAAAAAUUAGCGGAUGACCUGUGGCUGGGGGUGAAAGGCCAAUCAAACCGGGAGAUAGCUGGUUCUCCCCGAAAGCUAUUUAGGUAGCGCCUCGUGAAUUCAUCUCCGGGGGUAGAGCACUGUUUCGGCCAGGGGGCCAUCCCGGCUUACCAACCCGAUGCAAACUGCGAAUACCGGAGAAUGUUAUCACGGGAGACACACGGCGGGUGCUAACGUCCGUCGUGAAGAGGGAAACAACCCAGACCGCCAGCUAAGGUCCCAAAGUCAUGGUUAAGUGGGAAACGAUGUGGGAAGGCCCAGACAGCCAGGAUGUUGGCUUAGAAGCAGCCAUCAUUUAAAGAAAGCGUAAUAGCUCACUGGUCGAGUCGGCCUGCGCGGAAGAUGUAACGGGGCUAAACCAUGCACCGAAGCUGCGGCAGCGAACGUAUCACUUAAAGCGAUUCAGCGGAUGACGAUUGACGGAGCGAAGCGACGUCAAAGCGUUUUACAACGUCGAGUCGGUUUAAGGAUACGUUCGUUGGGUAGGGGAGCGUUCUGUAAGCCUGCGAAGGUGGCCUGUGAGGGUUGCUGGAGGUAUCAGAAGUGCGAAUGCUGACAUAAGUAACGAUAAUGCGGGUGAAAAACCCGCACGCCGGAAGACCAAGGGUUCCUGUCCAACGUUAAUCGGGGCAGGGUGAGUCGACCCCUAAGGCGAGGCCGAAAGGCGUAGUCGAUGGGAAACAGGUUAAUAUUCCUGUACCUGGUGUUACUGCGAAGGGGGGACGGAGAAGGCUAUGUUGGCCGGGCGACGGUUGUCCCGGUUUAAGCGUGUAGGCUGGUUUUCCAGGCAAAUCCGGAAAAUCAAGGCUGAGGCGUGACGACGAGGCACUACGGUGCUGAAGCAACAAAUGCCCUGCUUCCAGGAAAAGCCUCUAAGCCUCAGGUAACAUCAGAUCGUACCCGAAACCGACACAGGUGGUCAGGUAGAGAAUACCAAGGCGCUUGAGAGAACCCGGGUGAAGGAACUAGGCAAAAUGGUGCCGUAACUUCGGGAGAAGGCACGCUGACACGUAGGUGAAGCGGUUUACCCGUGGAGCUGAAGUCAGUCGAAGAUACCAGCUGGCUGCAACUGUUUAUUAAAAACACAGCACUGUGCAAACACGAAAGUGGACGUAUACGGUGUGACGCCUGCCCGGUGCCGGAAGGUUAAUUGAUGGGGUCAGCGCAAGCGAAGCUCCUGAUCGAAGCCCCGGUAAACGGCGGCCGUAACUAUAACGGUCCUAAGGUAGCGAAAUUCCUUGUCGGGUAAGUUCCGACCUGCACGAAUGGCGUAAUGAUGGCCAGGCUGUCUCCACCCGGGACUCAGUGAAAUUGAACUCGCUGUGAAGAUGCAGUGUACCCGCGGCAAGACGGAAAGACCCCGUGAACCUUUACUAUAGCUUGACACUGAACACUGGUCCUUGAUGUGCAGGAUAGGUGGGAGGCUUUGAAGUGUGGACGCCAGUCUGCAUGGAGCCGUCCUUGAAAUACCACCCUUUAAUGGCUGGUGUUCUAACGUAGACCCGUGAACCGGGUUGCGGACAGUGUCUGGUGGGUAGUUUGACUGGGGCGGUCUCCUCCUAAAGCGUAACGGAGGAGCACGAAGGUUGGCUAAUCCUGGUCGGACAUCAGGAGGUUAGUGCAAUGGCAUAAGCCAGCUUGACUGCGAGCGUGACGGCGCGAGCAGGUGCGAAAGCAGGUCAUAGUGAUCCGGUGGUUCUGAAUGGAAGGGCCAUCGCUCAACGGAUAAAAGGUACUCCGGGGAUAACAGGCUGAUACCGCCCAAGAGUUCAUAUCGACGGCGGUGUUUGGCACCUCGAUGUCGGCUCAUCACAUCCUGGGGCUGAAGUAGGUCCCAAGGGUAUGGCUGUUCGCCAUUUAAAGUGGUACGCGAGCUGGGUUUAGAACGUCGUGAGACAGUUCGGUCCCUAUCUGCCGUGGGCGCUGGAGAACUGAGGGGGGCUGCUCCUAGUACGAGAGGACCGGAGUGGACGCAUCACUGGUGUUCGGGUUGUCAUGCCAAUGGCACUGCCCGGUAGCUAAAUGCGGAAGAGAUAAGUGCUGAAAGCAUCUAAGCACGAAACUUGCCCCGAGAUGAGUUCUCCCUGAGACUACAAGUCUCCUGAAGGAACGUUGAAGACGACGACGUUGAUAGGCCGGGUGUGUAAGCGCAGCGAUGCGUUGAGCUAACCGGUACUAAUGAACCGUGAGGCUUAACCUU
Molecule: ribosomal RNA, 2986 nt
Filed under: Salmonella enterica subsp. arizonae
Lineage: Bacteria; Pseudomonadati; Pseudomonadota; Gammaproteobacteria; Enterobacterales; Enterobacteriaceae
Description: bacterial LSU rRNA
Rfam family: Bacterial large subunit ribosomal RNA
Source: RNAcentral